UGGGGAAUAUUGCACAAUGGGCGCAAGCCUGAUGCAGCCAUGCCGCGUGUAUGAAGAAGGCCUUCGGGUUGUAAAGUACUUUCAGCGGGGAGGAAGGGAGUAAAGUUAAUACCUUUGCUCUUUGACGUUACCCGCAGAAGAAGCACCGGCUAACUCCGUGCCAGCAGCCGCGGUAAUACGGAGGGUGCAAGCGUUAAUCGGAAUUACUGGGCGUAAAGCGCACGCAGGCGGUUUGUUAAGUCAGAUGUGAAAUCCCCGGGCUCAACCUGGGAACUGCCUCUGAUACUGGCAAGCUUGAGUCUCGUAGAGGGGGGUCGACUUCCAGGUGUAGCGGUGAGAUUCGUAGCGAUCUGGAGGAAUACCGUUGGCGAAGGCGGCCCCCUGGACGAAGACUGACGCUCAGGUGCGAAAGCGUGGGGAGCAAACAGG
RNAcentral lists this ribosomal RNA (429 nucleotides) under Chloroflexota bacterium. Its description in RNAcentral is "Chloroflexi bacterium partial 16S ribosomal RNA". It matches the Rfam family "Bacterial small subunit ribosomal RNA", at positions 355 to 776 of the family's 1533-position model. Lineage: Bacteria; Bacillati; Chloroflexota. The record is from RNAcentral.